RNAcentral lists this ribosomal RNA (325 nucleotides) under uncultured eukaryote. RNAcentral's name for it is "partial 18S ribosomal RNA". It matches the Rfam family "Eukaryotic small subunit ribosomal RNA", at positions 1470 to 1796 of the family's 1831-position model. The record is from RNAcentral.
CCCUUAGAUGUUCUGGGCCGCACGCGCGUUACACUGAUGCAUUCAACGAGUCCUUCCUUGGCCGAGAGGCCUGGGCAAUCUUUUGAACGUGCAUCGUGAUAGGGAUAGGUUAUUGCAAUUAUUAAUCUUGAACGAGGAAUUCCUAGUAAACGCAGUUCAUCAAACUGCAUUGAUUACGUCCCUGCCCUUUGUACACACCGCCCGUCGCACCUACCGAUUGAAUGGUCCGGUGAAGCCUCGGGAUUGUGGCUGGUCUCCUUUAUUGGGGGUCGGUCGCGAGAACUUGUCUAAACCUUAUCAUUUAGAGGAAGGUGAAGUCGUAACA